Molecule: long non-coding RNA, 2255 nt
Organism: Hordeum vulgare subsp. vulgare (domesticated barley)
Lineage: Eukaryota; Viridiplantae; Streptophyta; Magnoliopsida; Poales; Poaceae
Exons: 3
Source: RefSeq, a predicted model, not a curated record
AUGUGGCGAUGGGCGUCUCAUGAAUGAACAAUUGGAGGCUUUGCAGAAGAAGAGCACGGAGAACACCCCUCUUCCUUUACAACUAAAAUUGAAUUUACAGGUGAUCGAUUCAUGAAGUUUAAGUGUUUAUCAAAUUGAAUGCAAGGGUGAUUAGGAUUUUACAGGAUUCUAUUUGCUUAGUGUCAUAAUAUUUAAACUGCCGAUGAUCUUCUUGAAUGUUAAUUGUUAUUCCUUUCAGCUAAGAAGUUGUUACUUUGAAUGUGUUUUCGACAAAGGAACCUACCACUUUGAUGUGUUAGUAUUAGAAUGAAAAAUACUUGCAAUUUCAGUUUGCAUCUACACUCUGAUGCUCAUGGUUUUGAUGUACAUCUAAUGCUUAUGGUUUUGAAGUACAUAUCAGUGCACAACUGUUAACGUAUGAUUCAUAUAGAACUUGAUGAAUUCCAGAGUUAUACUUUCAUGAUUUCAUAAGAUAUUUGACUCAAAAAUUCAGUUCCAAUUUGACGAGCAAGCUGUCUUAGAAAAUUGACAGCUGAAGGCAUGAAUGGCUGAAGGUGACUGUUUCAUUUCUUAUAAUCAAUAGCUACAAACUUCUUCUAGCUCUAAAAUGAGGCAUAAUGCAACUUAUGCCAGUAAGUGGAGGAUGCCUCAAAAGAGUGUGGUGACUGCUUUGAAAAGGCAUCACGUCCUAACAUAAACGAAGAGGAGAAAAGGAAGAUCCUUCACAUUGUGAUUAUUAGUGGUGGACCCACUUGAGUUGAAUUUGGUGCAGAGUUGAAUGUUUUUCUUGUCGAAGUAAUGGUGAAGCUAUAUCCUGCAAUUGAAGAAUUUUUUAAGAUAAGAAUUAUUCAGCCACGAGAGCAUAUAUUGAAUAUGUAGGUCAGUAUUAACUUACCAGAUAAUGAGCAUUCAUCAAUCCUGCAGUAAUAGCUAAAAUAACUAUUAUAUGUUAACCGCUCAUCACUAAGAUUAUGUUUUGGUAUGAAUAACAAUCCGCCAGGGAAAUAAAUGUAUUUGAAGGUCUGCUUCCAUGCACAGAUAAUGAGGUUGUACUGCUGGUUCACAUAUAAGAGACUAGAACAUGCAUGCUGCAGGUAGUGAGCUCCGAGCUAAUCAUCUCCUGGGAUAAUUCUUAAAUACUGUCAGAAAAAGUGAACAAUUUGGAACAUUUUGUAUUAUUAGGAAAAUAGUUUAGUCAUCAGAAGUGGAACAUAUAUCCUGAUCAUUUAUUUCUUACGAGGAUAGAUUGAACAAGACCACCUUACCUCCAUGCUCCAAACAAUGCCAGCGUAGGAUUAACUCUUAACAAAUAUUAUCAGUAGUUUUUGGAUUGUGGCAAUUUCUUCCCUGUUCUUCCCCCCCUUUUGCUUUUCUUUUUAAAUGAAUGUUCCUGACUUCUAUGAAAUUACCAUGUUUACUGUAGACAUUGCAAUCAUGUUGGGAAUACGACGUUUUGUUGAUUUGACAAGGAAUUUUUUCCUACUGUUUCAAUAUACAUGCCCUCCAUUGUAGCAUUGGUAGAUCUUCUCUUUUCUCCAUGUGUACUAUGAGAUGAUAUAUCUAUUUCUAUGAAAUAUAACUGUGUUUUCUGAAACAAAGUUGCAAAGAGAUGGCAUCGAGUUGACUAUGGAUUCAGAGUGAUAAAGUUUUCUGAUGAUUCGGUUGCAGCGAAGUGCAAAUCAGCUCGUGGAGGAUCAUUGGUUCCGUAUGGGAUGGAUGUUUGGUCUACUGGCAUAGGUGCUCAUCUCUUGACUAGGCUGGUGUCUGGUUGGUUUCAUAGAUUUAAUUAGGUCCAAAUUGAGUGGUUUAUCAAGGUCAGAUGUGAGAAAAUAGGAUGAGAAUUGGUGUAUGGCCAGCACUUGGGUCUGUCAUCGAGGUCUCUCUUUCUAUCGCGUUGCAGGUUGAUUUGACUCCACACAGCGUCUGCAUCUCGCUCAAUGUUGAAAAUGCUGGCUUGGAGCGUGUCUCUAAAGUAUUGCUGGCUUUUCCGAACAUCUAAGCAAGAAACAGGGCAUCAAUCAGGGCAUUUGGUACCGAGGGGAAAGUGAAGGGCCUGAGUAUUGUUCUUCCGAUUGAAGUUGUUGAACCUUGUGAUGUGCCCCGGGAACUCGCUUUCUUUCAGCAUCUUAAACAAAGCUUUGAAUACUAUGCUAGCAGUUUGUAGUUGUGCUCUGGAUACAUGUUCCCUCAUUUGUAAUAGACAUUAUUUUUCUUUGUUUCUACAUUAAUUAAUGGAUCUAAGGUAGUUAGACGCA